UCCACGCCGUAAACGAUGUCGACUUGGAGGUUGUGCCCUUGAGGCGUGGCUUCCGGAGCUAACGCGUUAAGUCGACCGCCUGGGGAGUACGGCCGCAAGGUUAAAACUCAAAUGAAUUGACGGGGGCCCGCACAAGCGGUGGAGCAUGUGGUUUAAUUCGAUGCAACGCGAAGAACCUUACCUGGUCUUGACAUCCACGGAAGUUUUCAGAGAUGAGAAUGUGCCUUCGGGAACUGUGAGACAGGUGCUGCAUGGCUGUCGUCAGCUCGUGUUGUGAAAUGUUGGGUUAAGUCCCGCAACGAGCGCAACCCUUAUCCUUUGUUGCCAGCGGUCCGGCCGGGAACUCAAAGGAGACUGCCAGUGAUAAACUGGAGGAAGGUGGGGAUGACGUCAAGUCAUCAUGGCCCUUACGACCAGGGCUACACACGUGCUACAAUGGCGCAUACAAAGAGAAGCGACCUCGCGAGAGCAAGCGGACCUCAUAAAGUGCGUCGUAGUCCGGAUUGGAGUCUGCAACUCGACUCCAUGAAGUCGGAAUCGCUAGUAAUCGUGGAUCAGAAUGCCACGGUGAAUACGUUCCCGGGCCUUGUACACACCGCCCGUCACACCAUGGGAGUGGGUUGCAAAAGAAGUAGGUAGCUUAACCUUCGGGAGGGCGCUUACCACUUUGUGAUUCAUGACUGGG
This 685-nucleotide ribosomal RNA is filed under the name Bacillus sp. GMQC2. RNAcentral's name for it is "bacterial SSU rRNA". It matches the Rfam family "Bacterial small subunit ribosomal RNA", at positions 794 to 1479 of the family's 1533-position model. Lineage: Bacteria; Bacillati; Bacillota; Bacilli; Caryophanales; Bacillaceae. The record is from RNAcentral.